AGUGAACGCUGGCGGUAGGCCUAACACAUGCAAGUCGAACGGCAGCACAGUAAUAGCUUGCUCUUACGGGUGGCGAGUGGCGGACGGGUGAUGAAUACAUCGGAAUCUACUUUUUCGUGGGUGAUAACGUAGGGAAACUUACGCUAAUACCGCAUACGACCUACGGGUGAAAGCAUGGGAUCUUCGGACCUUGCGCGAUUGAAUGAGCCGAUGUCGGAUUAGCUAGUUGGCGGGGUAAAGGCCCACCAAGGCGACGAUCCGUAGCUGGUCUGAGAGGAUGAUCAGCCACACUGGAACUGAGACACGGUCCAGACUCCUACGGGAGGCAGCAGUGGGGAAUAUUGGACAAUGGGCGCAAGCCUGAUCCAGCCAUACCGCGUGGGUGAAGAAGGCCUUCGGGUUGUAAAGCCCUUUUGUUGGGAAAGAAAAGCAGCAGGUUAAUACCCCGCUGUUCUGACGGUACCCAAAGAAUAAGCACCGGCUAACUUCGUG
Molecule: ribosomal RNA, 492 nt
Filed under: uncultured bacterium
Lineage: Bacteria
Description: partial 16S ribosomal RNA
Rfam family: Bacterial small subunit ribosomal RNA
Source: RNAcentral